CAAAUAAUAACCAUGUAUAAGUGUUAUGUUAGAGCACACCCAAACCGGGGGCUGAAUUAAGGGAUAUAAUAAAUGUAGUUCACUCUGCAACAUUAAUUUCUAAUUAUAUGUUCCUUCUAUUUAUCUAGGAAAGUUACUGUAAGAUGUAGACAGCUUCGUGUCAAGCAAAGACCCAAAAGAAUUGCCAUUUCUUGUAAUGGUUGUCUGGCGACCGUUGAAUGCAAUUUCUCAAAUCUUUAUUGUCGCUGACUUGCUGGUACUUUUUCGAGUUAAGGUUGUAAUUGUGGAACUGAUGGCAUGAACUCACAUUCUCUUUUCGAGAGGAGGUUAAUUAAUGAAAUUAGGAAUGCCGACAUAUACUAAGUAAUAUGAACUGAAUAAAAUCUGAACUCAGUAGGAGAGGGCAAUUGCUCUUGUAUUGUAUAUA
Paramuricea clavata is the source of this 427-nucleotide non-coding RNA. NCBI's taxonomy places the organism in Eukaryota, Metazoa, Cnidaria, Anthozoa, Malacalcyonacea, Plexauridae. The record is from the annotation of a GenBank genome assembly.